This 4443-nucleotide unclassified non-coding RNA is filed under the name Hevea brasiliensis (rubber tree). The record is from RNAcentral. Lineage: Eukaryota; Viridiplantae; Streptophyta; Magnoliopsida; Malpighiales; Euphorbiaceae.
AUGCUAAUUGUUGUAAUUAUGCUAACAAAUAGAGAAGGCCUUUGAAAGGGAAGCUUCUGCAAAUCCUGGAAGGAGGAAACUGCAAUCUUCGGUCGGGCACAUGAUUGUUUCCAUUGUUAGUGCUUCUGACUUGUUAAACGUGCUCAUUACCACUUACUCUGCGAAUUCAUUUCGGUAAAGGAACUGACAUUUAACAGGUUUAAGAAAAAAUUAAAUGAAAAAUCAGAUAAACACAAUUUAUGGCUAGUGAUAUGCAAGCGUACGAAAUGUGAACGAAAGCCUAGCCUGACCAAGCAUUUCUUUUGUGAUUUAUUAGGCCUGUAUUUUAGCCAGGCUUAAGCUAGUUUAGCUGCAGGCAAGGGAAACCAUCGAAUUGAGCAGGAGCCUUACCUAGCAAAAUCCGAUUUCAUUUAACAAAAUUUCCUAAAUAAAAGUCUGCAGAUUGCCGAGAUUAAUGGUUAAUAGAUUUUGCUCCCAUUAUCUUCUCGUGAUUUGAAGAUUUGAAUGAGCUUUCCUUGUAUAAAUGAUGCUUUGCAGAAGUUUUAAAAAUAGGAUUGGCAAGUGUACAAACUUGAAUGUAGAUUAGCUACAUGAAAAAUCUAAUCUACAAGGUUUACAAGAAUGAACUGGCACAUAUAUGGGGGAAAACGUAUAGAUAUCUGUGUUGGCAUCCACAUUCAGCCUUUCUUCCUCUUGACAUUAGUCUUCUUUUUUGACUUUCUAAACCCUCCACUCUCCUGCCAGCAAGAAAAUAUGUGGAAAAAGAAAAAAUUACACCAGCUAAAUGAAAAUAUAAACAUUAACACAACUUUUUCAAGGAAGAAUCAUACUAAAACGAACGGAAGAGAAGAAAUAAAGAAAGAAAAACGAAUAAAACAUUGUCCUUCAUACCUUUCUGUAGUGUCUGUAUGCAAUUUGACCAGUCAACUCCUGACCACUUCUCGAAACAUAAACCUACAGGUGAUCAAGCAGGGGAAAGAUGUACACAGAAUAUUGAAAGAGAACAUCAUUAACAGACAAGUAAAACCGGUGGAAAGGGAGCCUCCAAAAUGUUGACAUGGAAAGAGGAGGGAUAACAUAAUAUCCAGUAAGAUAAUCUAAUUUGCGUUUGUUGAUAAACCUAUGUGAAGGGAAGUAUCAUAGUUUAACAGCUAAUCCAUGGCUCCCAACUACUAAAUUUCACUGUCGCACUUUUAGAGCUUAAACACCCCUGUAAUUUUAAUAUAUAGCAGAUGUGGAACAAUUUUCUCACUAUGGCAUGGUGAUGAGCAGAAUUUCAGGAAAAUUAAGAGUUUAACUAGUCCUCGUGGGUUUCUUGAAAUCAAUUUCCUCUUGCAUUAAAAGUGCUGCCAACUAAAUAAAGGAUUUGAGAAACUCAUUUGUAUUCUAAGAUUUUAGGGUUAAUUGGCAAGGGCCAUAAAAAAAAAAAACUUCAAAAUUUGACCUAGUUCUACUAUUGGUUGAAAUAUCAAAGCACACAUAAAAAUGAACCAAUCAAUUAUUGGAUAAUUAUUAUAAAAAUUUAAAUUCAUUAAAAAUAUCAUUUCAGAUGCAGUGAUUCAGCAUACCUUCCUCCCCUCAGGGGAUGUAAACCAGCGACCAGCAGCUUGACCAUUUGCAUGAACACGUCUUUUCCCAGCAUCCUUUGGAAUGGCAGAACUGAUUUUAGGGUCUACCCAUCCUUCAGAAGCAUGCAUGACUUCUUUGGCAUUUGAUUUCUUUAAUUUGUUUCUUCCCCUUGUUGAGCCUUUCCCAUUGUUACUUCCCCGAGUUCCCCCCUGCUUAGAAGCUUCUCCAUGGAAUUGACUUAUGUAAUUAAUGACUGAUUCACUAUGCUGCUGAUUUCCCCUGUUAACUAUGCCCAAUGGGGAAAAGUUAGGUAAGCGACAGCGGACUAGUGUCUGAAUCCUUGGAUCAUCAUGGAAGAAAUAAUGAUGAGCUGGAGGAAGAGGGUCAGCCAAAUUCCAUCUUUGCUCGUAGCCUUUGAUGCUAUUUAAGUCAUGAUGACUGCCCACACCGCCUUUAUAUAAACCACUUCCCAGUUUCUGAGCUGCAUUCUUAUCUUGAAGGGAGUGGAAAUAUUCUUUGCAGACCUCAUCCAGAACAGGUGUUGGAAUGUGAAAAUUCUUUACCGGACAGAAAUCUUUCCACAAAUCCUCACUUUGAUGCUUCUCUGCUGAUUGAUUUCUCCUUUGUUCACAUGCAGGAGGCUGCUGCUUCUUCAAGGAUGAAUUAAUUUUUCUGCUUACAUCUUUAUUCAUAGAAGGCUCUUCAGAAUCAGAAUCAGAAUCAGAAUCAACUAACUGAAACCUUCGAAGAGGACUUCUAGUUAGCUUUGGAAAUACCAAGCCAUUGUGGCCUGUCUCUGCACAGGAAGAGGAUGGAGCAUCUGAAGAAUGUUCACUUUUCUUCUGGCUUGAUGAUUGAGUAGUCAGAACCCCAGAACCAUGCAGAGGAACCUUUGAACUACUACAUACAGAAUUGUACUGUUUUGAUGAAUGUGCAUCUGCUAUGAAAAAAACAACUUAGAUCAUUGAAAAUAUUGAUCUAAAAAAAAUAACCAUCUGGGUAUAUGGAUGCAUGAUGAAAUUGAUAGUGAUAUUUGAUUAGAGACAGCCACCCACAAGGAAAAAUGAAGCAUAUUAAAUCAAUUGCCUAAGCACCCAUUCCAUAUAGAAAGGCAUUUGUAAACAUUCAAGACUAAGGCAUGUUCAUCUAAGCUGACAUUUACAAUCUGAGAAAUCCUCUUAGCAAGAUGAAAUUUUGAACAAGUGAAUGUAUCAAUCUAUCAAGAGAAGUCUGACUUGAAUGAAUUGUAAUUAAGCAGUGACAAUCAGUUGACUUGAAUCUAUAAUAUAAACAAUGGAAAAGUAUUAUUGGAAAAAAUUAUAAAAUCUAUGACUUUAAGCCACUCUUGGUCACUACUGAAAAGUCACAUCAGAUAUGAUAUUCCAUUGCAUGGCACUAUUUGAAAAUGUUUAAUUAUAGCCAAGAUGAAUUCCAGUGAUUAGCUGCUCUAGCCCCUAAGCUAAGACCAUGUCUGUAGCCAAGAUUUGGCUCGAAGUUAGGCUUGCUUAGCAUGAUCCUGUGACUAUUCCCAAUAAUACAUAGGUCAAGAUUCAAGAAAUAAAUAUGUUUGCAAAGAAGGGUUGGCCAUGCUGCUUAAUAAGUCAUUAAAUUGCUAAAGAGACCACUGUAAGAGAUUUUCCUGAGCUGGCGAUAAGCAUCAAGUCCGUUCCAUCCUAGAACUUGUCUUAGCCAAGUUACCCAAGUUCAGUAAUUUUCUUGUUAAUAACUUCAAAUUCUUGUGCAACAAUCAUCUACAGAAAAGUAAAAUGCAAGCUCUUUUAACAAGAUUCAUAAUAUCAAGUCCCUUGCCAGAUGCAAUACAUAAAGUCAAGCCAUUAUUUGCUCUUAGAUUUCUUAACACGUUCCUUUUGUUUUCCGUAUCAACCCAAUAUCUAAAGUGAUCACUCUUGGGGCAGAUACGUCUACAACUACUUGAAAUACCAAUAACAUCACUGAGGUGAGUGUUAUAUGCAACUCUGUCUUGCUUUUCCCCCUUAUUUGGUUCUUGAACAUUAGAAGAGAAAGUGAAAUCAAAAGGCAUCAUAAUAGAUUCCUCCUAUAUAACAUAAGCAAAAUCUCUUAUUUCCUUUCCCUCUUUUUUUCUUCCAAAAAAAAAGUUCUGAGACGAUUUUAGCAUAAAAAUUUUAGGGUUUUUAACUUCUUCCACUCAACAUCACUAGCAAGGUCUCAACUUUAUUUCUAUUCCUUUGUACAGUUCCCAAAAACAAAUCUCUCUUUUAGAAAUUAGCCAAUUUAACCCAUUACUAAUGCUCCAUUUACAUGCAACCAACUUCUUGCAUUAACCAUAUUGAUAAUAUGCACUAAAUAACUUCCUGAAAACCGUUCAAAGCACAGACAAAUGCACCAAAAAAAAACAAAAAGAAAAAUAAAUGGGCAGUAUUACCCCUAACAAAAUCUUCCUGUGAGGAGAACUCUUCGAUCUCAUCAUCACCAUUAUAAAAAAAACCGCCUCCUUUUCUUUCCUCUUCAAUCUUGGUUCCUCGAUUGCGGGUCCUCGUCUCAGCCGCUUGAAUAUCCGGGGCGAAUCUGGCCCACUUUCGGGAUCCGAAUCCAUAACCUGAAGCCCAGAACCAUCUUUUUCGGAAUUUGCGACUCGGGGUUGGAAAACUCGAUCAUCAUCGUCCUCCGAUAGGGUACAGGAACUCGGACCUGGAGCUGGAUUGAGAACGGACAGUUCAUGGAUUCGAGUGGGUAUUUCAGGUUCCGGUUCGGCAUCGAGGUCCAGGCCGAGAGAGAAGGAUGGAGGGUCAAUAUCGGCCAUUGGAGAGAGAGAGAGAAAGAGAGAAAUAAUGGAGAACGUAAAAUUGAAGCAGAAUGAAAUUGGGGGAGGGGAUGAGGGAAUUUCAAUUUUUU